RNAcentral lists this transfer RNA (85 nucleotides) under bacterium. RNAcentral's name for it is "tRNA-Tyr". It matches the Rfam family "tRNA". From Rfam's summary of the family: Transfer RNA (tRNA) molecules are approximately 80 nucleotides in length. Their secondary structure includes four short double-helical elements and three loops (D, anti-codon, and T loops). The record is from RNAcentral.
GGGUCGGUGGCAGAGCGGCAAUUGCACCAGACUGUAAAUCUGGCGCCUCACGGCUUCGGAGGUUCGAGUCCUCCCCGGCCCACCA